AUGAGGGAGCCACGACGCAGUCCGAGCAGGCAGCCGACGACGGCGAGGAGCCGCCGCCGGCCGAAGCUUGUCACGGAGCGCCUGACCACUACUAUCAGUGAUGCGCGGUCGCUGCAGCCGGCUAUGGCUACAGGGGGGCUACUUGCUGGGACGACGACGAACUUCUCCGAGGACGAGGAGGACCUCCUCAUCAAGCUGCAUGCUUUGCUCGGAAACCGCUGGUCCAUCAUCGCCGGGAGGCUGCCUGGGAGGACGGGCGAGGAGGUCGAGGCCCACUGGGGUUCGCCGGCGAUGAGGAGGCGCACGGGCGGCGCCGACCCCGACAGCCAUCGUGUGCUAUUGCAGGCUUUGCUAGCCUCGUCACAUGAUCAGCACGGCGAGCAUCUGCCAAGGGUAAUUCCAAAUGAAGUGCGCCGGGAGCACCGGGGCCGUCCUUCCUUCUCCAACGACGGACUCGACGACUGGGCAUUGUCGGACGCCGACAGCAGGUGCCUCGCUCAAGUGAACCUGGAGCUCAGCCUCUCUAUGCCGUGCAGUACGUCUACUUAA
This 549-nucleotide ribosomal RNA is filed under the name Triticum aestivum (bread wheat). RNAcentral describes it as "partial small subunit ribosomal RNA". Lineage: Eukaryota; Viridiplantae; Streptophyta; Magnoliopsida; Poales; Poaceae. The record is from RNAcentral.